Oryctolagus cuniculus (rabbit) is the source of this 2812-nucleotide non-coding RNA. NCBI's taxonomy places the organism in Eukaryota, Metazoa, Chordata, Mammalia, Lagomorpha, Leporidae. The record is from RefSeq and is a predicted model, not a curated record.
CAUGGGUAAAGAGUGAAAGGGAAAACAGUAAAGAAUACACUAAGAGGGGGCUUAUAGUCUGGUGGUAGUUAGAAAAGAAUAUUGAUUUUAGUGUUAUCUGGCUAUAUGAAUUAUCCAAAGGAAACACUUAAAGAAGUCUGUCCCAUCAUCUGUAAUAUUUUGCAGAGAAAUUUGCUUGAGGAAUAGUGACUUUGCCUCUUAACAGAUGGGCUAGCAAACAUUAGGAAUUAUAAAAGCGGUGAAAAGUUGGAGCGAAACCAGGAAGAAAUGGAUAGAAAUCAUUAACAACUAGUAUUAGACUUUAAUAAUAAUGUCAUAAACUAUAUUGUAUACAAUAAUAAUUUUACAAGUAACAUUUAUUGAAAACUUACUAUAUGUCAAACCCUAUGCCAAGCACUGUUGUGGAUUAUCUUAUUUAACUUUCGUAACAACACUUAGAUAACUGUAACAUUUCCCUAUUUUAUAGUCCUGGAAUUUGAGGUGGCAGAGUCAGAUUUGAAAAUGGCAGUCAGAUGCUUAACUACUGCUUCAUGCAAUCGGGGAGUGAAAAUGCAGUGCACAAAUACUCUCAGCCAUAAAUCAUCGAUUGGACUCAGCUGUAAAUGGUAUCCAUCCUCAGGGUACUAGUGCAGAUAGCUCAAGUUAUUUGGUCACAAAGAAAGGCUUCCGGUGCUCAACUCAAUUUUGUGAUUUGUCAUGUGUGUAAAUGAUAGGAAUCUACCAGAUUUUCUCCUAAAACAUAUUUGUUCCAUAUUAUCAGCCUCGCCUGCUUUGUGUUUGAAAAUCAGUGACAUGGCGUUGUAAACUUUCCUCUUACUUGCCCUAAGAGAAAUCGUACUGCAAGAAGUAAGAUGUGUGAAAGUAGUGGACUUCAGGGAAUUGUCUAAGCAUCUGGGAAUAUCAAAGCCUUCAUGAGGUAGUCUCACUGCCUGUGGGAAAUGCACUGCGCCCCGUACAAAGGAGUCUCCCUUGCUAAGGAGACCUGAGAUCCUGUCUAAGAACAUUCUUUUGACUCUGGUGAUCUCUCCACUGUGUUGUCCUGGAGAUUCAGUAAACCUCUCUGGAGCAAGUGCUAGGCACUUGACCACCUGGAGUAGAAUUCCAGGGAUAUCUGCUGGAAAAGAAGCUGAGGACCUCAUGCUGGGAGACAAGUCUCCCAAGUUGAGUUAGGUCUUUGGAAAACAACUGGAUUUGGUAUUGGUCUUUAUUACAGUUUCCACAGACUGAGAAAAUUGUUUAUAAAACAAAAGCCGCACACAAUUUGGUAUGGUAACAUUUUUUAGAAUUUUGUUUUUGCACAGCGGAAACCAAGGCCAAUGCGGUCAUGGUAGAAAUGGAGCCAAUUCUGUUACCCCACAGCACCUCUCCUAAAACACUAAGCUGAGUAAGCCAGGCCUGACCUUGCCAGGAACAGCCGGCAUUGUUUGGCUCUAUGGAGAGACUUCCGGGACGAAGAGCUCCGAACAACCACAGCAAGGCCCCACAUCGUGCAACAGCACGCACGCGGCACACCCAGCCUCAGAUCUCUCACCCUUUCCGGAGCCGGAAAGCCUACCAGUGCUCCUCCCUUCUUCCACUCUGGUGAGAGGGAAUCACAGUUAUUGUUUCCAGGACAAUAUGUCGGCACACACAGCUCUCGCCAUUCCUUUCUACCAGUGAGACAUCCCAGGCAAAUGGAGACACCUCUCUUGUUUGCAGUUCUCCGGUUCACAGGCAGUGUAAGGCGCCAAAUGAAACAUCCAAGUUUCCUGAUCCGCACUUUGAGCCAGAUCAUGUGAAGACUAAAGAAAAUCUAUGUUUGCUGGCUUCGGGAACAGGACUGACCGACUACUUUUUCAUCACAAAGGAAGUGUUACGAAAAAGGCUAAUACAUGGAACAUGAUAAAAACUUUUGUACUUCAUCCAUUUGAUUCACUCAGUGGUUUGGUGACUCAAAACUGAUCAAGAACCGAUGAAUCUUGUAAGGCAGGCUCAAGAGCACUGCAGGAAUGACUGGGGCCCCUGAGAUCGCUGGGAUCCCUUCCGGUGGUGGAACGGAGGACUUGCAAAGAUAAAGUGGCUUGGCCUGGGCCACGUGGCAGGUGUACAGCAGAGCCAAGCACCCCCCAACCCUACCUCCCGUCUCAGGGUCCUGGGUGCUUUCCCCUGGAAAGAUACCUGGUGUGUUUCCUGAGCACACCGCUGGGCGCAUGCCAGGGGGUUGGAGCAUGGGUUGAUUCCAGCAGUGAUUCGGAAUCGCUUGAUGAUGCUUAUGCUGGGAAGUGUAGACUUUUGUAUUAAAGGCAGCUCAGAUCUCAGGAAUUGUUGCAAAGUGCUUGUGUUCGGGCUGCUAACCAGACGGCUUCUCAACAACAAAUGGUCAUCGCUCACAGCUCUGGAGGCUGCGAAGUCCAGGAAAACAGCGUCUGGAUCUUCUACAUUGAGACGCAGCAGAACAAGUUGAGAGACAUCUGGUCAGCAGCUCCAGCGCACUGAGGAUGCCAAAGGCUGUUUUCCGGAGGGGAAAGGAAAAGAGAGCUAUCCAGGCUCAGCCGUGUUGUUCAAAUGGGAGUCUCUGAAGGGCCUCUCUCAUCCCUCAGCUCGCCCAGGACUCCCAGGAAGCUGCCCAGCUCUUAGCUCUCUGCUGUGGCCUGGGAUAGCAGCAGCAGAAGGCCCAAGUCCUUGGACCCCUGCACCCACAUGGAAGACCUGGAAGAAGCUCCUGGCUCCUGGCUUCAGAUUGGCGCAGCUCUGGCCAUUGAGGCCAUCUGGGGAGUGAACCAGCAGAUGGAAACUUCUCUCUCUGUCUCUACCGCUCUCUGUAACUCUUUCA